GAAGGUGAGAGGAAAGGCUUCGGUGCUCGGGGAGGGGCCUGCGGCCCAUCAGCUAGUUGGAGAGGUAACGGCUCCCCAAGGCAAUGACGGGUAGGGGGUGUGAGAGCAUGGCCCCCCGCACUGGGACUGAGACACGGCCCAGACUCCUACGGGAGGCAGCAGCAGGGAAUAUUGCGCAAUGGACGGAAGUCUGACGCAGCGACGCCGCGUGGAUGACGAAGGCCUUCGGGUUGUAAAAUCCUUUUCCGGGCGAUGAGGAAGGACACUAGCCUGGGAAUAAGCGUCGGCUAACUACGUGCCAGCAGCCGCGGUAAGACGUAGGACGCGAGCGUUAUCCGGAUUUACUGGGCGUAAAGCGCCUGCAGGCGGUCAGGUAAGUCGGUUGUGAAAGCCCCGUGCUCAACGCGGGGAGGCCAAGCGAUACUGCGUGACUUGAGGGCGGAAGAGGGGAGUGGAAUUCCCGGUGUAGCGGUAAAAUGCGCAGAUAUCGGGAGGAACACCAGUGGCGAAGGCGGCUCCCUGGACCGCACCUGACGCUCAGAGGCGAAAGCUAGGGGAGCGAACAGGAUUAGAGACCCUGGUAGUCCUAGCCCUAAACGCUGGAUGCUAGGUGUAGGGCUGAUGAGGCUCUGUGCCGGAGCGAACGCGAUAAGCAUCCCGCCUGGGAACUACGGCCGCAAGGCUAAAACUCAAACGAAUUGACGGGGACCCGCACAAGCAGCGGAGCGUGUGGUUUAAUUCGAUGCUACACGAAGAACCUUACCUGGGUUUGACAUGCUGGUGGUACCGAACUGAAAGGGGAGGGACCUUUCGGGGAGCCAACACAGGUGUUGCAUGGCUGUCGUCAGCUCGUUCUGUGAUGGUGUCGGGUUAAGUCCCGUAACGAGCGCAACCAUUGCUCUUAGUUAUACGUGUCUAAGGGGACUGUCGGCGACAAGCCGGAGGAAGGUGGGGAUGACGUCAAGUCAGCAUGGCCUUGAUAUCCAGGGCUACACACACGCUACAAUGGCCGUACUAAAGGGCAGCCAAGCCGCGAGGUGGAGCGAAUCCCAGCAAAGCCGGUCCCAGUUCGGAUGCAGGGCUGCAACCCGCCUGCAUGAAGUUGG
Molecule: ribosomal RNA, 1106 nt
Filed under: uncultured organism
Description: bacterial SSU rRNA
Rfam family: Bacterial small subunit ribosomal RNA
Source: RNAcentral